GGCGCAAGGGUGAGUAACACGUAGGCAACCUGCCCUAAGGACGGGAAUAACUUCGAGAAAUCGAGGCUAAUACCCGAUAAUGCAGCGGUACCGCAUGGUAAUGUUGUUAAAUGUCGAAAGACGCCUUUGGAUGGGCCUGCGUCCCAUUAGGUAGUUGGUGAGGUAACGGCUCACCAAGCCGACGAUGGGUAGCUGGUCUGAGAGGACGAUCAGCCACACUGGAACUGAGACACGGUCCAGACUCCUACGGGAGGCAGCAGUGAGGAAUAUUGCACAAUGCCCGAAAGGGUGAUGCAGCGACGCCGCGUGAAGGAUGAAGGCCCUCUGGGUCGUAAACUUCUUUUGCAGAAGAAUAACAGGCUGCUACAGGCAGCUUUGAAUGUAUUCUGCGAAUAAGCAUCGGCUAACUACGUGCCAGCAGCCGCGGUAAUACGUAGGAUGCGAGCGUUGUCCGGAAUCACUGGGUGUAAAGGGAGCGCAGGCGGGUCGGUAAGUCAAUGGUGAAAUUUCCAGGCUCAACUUGGAGACUGCCACUGAUACUGCUGAUCUUGGGUCUAGAAGAGGUUGAUGGAAUUCC
RNAcentral lists this ribosomal RNA (577 nucleotides) under uncultured bacterium. Its description in RNAcentral is "bacterial SSU rRNA". It matches the Rfam family "Bacterial small subunit ribosomal RNA", at positions 97 to 670 of the family's 1533-position model. The record is from RNAcentral.